AGUCUUCUGAAUCUGUGCCGAGAUUUAGUCAGACACAAGACCAUCAGGAUUGAUGAGACUCCCAAGAUAAGUGAAACG
Molecule: non-coding RNA, 78 nt
Organism: Schistosoma haematobium
Lineage: Eukaryota; Metazoa; Platyhelminthes; Trematoda; Strigeidida; Schistosomatidae
Source: Rfam